This 476-nucleotide ribosomal RNA is filed under the name Megasphaera geminata. RNAcentral's name for it is "bacterial SSU rRNA". It matches the Rfam family "Bacterial small subunit ribosomal RNA", at positions 28 to 471 of the family's 1533-position model. Lineage: Bacteria; Bacillati; Bacillota; Negativicutes; Veillonellales; Veillonellaceae. The record is from RNAcentral.
GACGAACGCUGGCGGCGUGCGUAACACAUGCAAGUCGAACGAGAGAGUGAGAGAAGCUUGCUUUUCUUACGAUCGAGUGGCAAACGGGUGAGUAACGCGUAAACAACCUGCCCCGCAGAUGGGGACAACAGCUGGAAACGGCUGCUAAUACCGAAUACGGUCCUCUUAGCGCAUGGUAGGAGGAAGAAAGGGUGGCCUCUGGAACAAGCUACCGCUGCGGGAGGGGUUUGCGUCUGAUUAGCUGGUUGGAGGGGUAACGGCCCACCAAGGCGACGAUCAGUAGCCGGUCUGAGAGGAUGAACGGCCACAUUGGAACUGAGACACGGUCCCAGACUUCCUACGGGGAGGGCAGCCAGUGGGGGAAUUCUUUCCCGCAAAUGGGGCGAAAAGCCCUGGACGGGAAGCAAACCGCCCGGCCGUGAAGUGAAAGGACGGGCCUUUCCGGGUUGUAAAAGGCUUCUUUUAUUAGGGGAACG